GUAGGGUGCAAGCGUUAAUCGGAAUUACUGGGCGUAAAGCGUGCGCAGGCGGUUUUGUAAGUCUGUCGUGAAAGCCCCGGGCUCAACCUGGGAAUUGCGAUGGAGACUGCAAGGCUUGAAUCUGGCAGAGGGGGGUAGAAUUCCACGUGUAGCAGUGAAAUGCGUAGAGAUGUGGAGGAACACCGAUGGCGAAGGCAGCCCCCUGGGUCAAGAUUGACGCUCAUGCACGAAAGCGUGGGGGGAGCAAACAGGAUUAGAUACCCUGGUAGUCCACGUCCCUAAACGAUGUCUACUAGUUGUCGGGUUUUAAUUAACUUGGUAACGCAGCUAACGCGUGAAGUAGACCGCCUGGGGAGUACGGUCGCAAGAUUA
This 372-nucleotide ribosomal RNA is filed under the name uncultured organism. RNAcentral's name for it is "partial 16S ribosomal RNA". It matches the Rfam family "Bacterial small subunit ribosomal RNA", at positions 527 to 896 of the family's 1533-position model. The record is from RNAcentral.